This 626-nucleotide long non-coding RNA is filed under the name Setaria viridis. Its description in RNAcentral is "long non-coding RNA (SVIR_LNC009172)". Lineage: Eukaryota; Viridiplantae; Streptophyta; Magnoliopsida; Poales; Poaceae. The record is from RNAcentral.
UCUAAAAAGGUUUGUAAAUCAACCAUAAAAGUAUCAUCAUCACUUUUCCUAUAUCCUAUGUGGAAAACAAAGUUUAAUAGAAGUGGUUUCAUCAUUUUAUCACUUUUCCACUAUUUAUCAUGCAAUCAGCAAUAUUAACAUAGCAAGCAAGUAUUUACAUCUAAAACAGUAGGAACAAUAAGAAUUCUACUAAAACAAGUCAUAUAUCUGAAACAUGCAUGUUACAAGGAAGCUAACAAAAGUGGUUUUACAAUUUUUAGUGCACAGGGUGAUCUAUAAAGCAUUUAAUGGCUUCCACACAAAAUAAAUCAUAGCACAAAGUAUAAAACAGCAGCAUGCACAAAAAUCAUUUCUGAAAUAAACUAGACACCACAAUGAACCCAACAAAAUAAGAAUCACAUUUUUAGCAUUUUUCUACAAGUUUCUAUGUAUUUUCAAAGUUUGCAACAUUUUAAAACCACCAAUUAAAACAAAACCGAGCCAACUUGCAAGCUACCCCCUGGAAACAAAUUUUUUUUCUCAGAUCCGCCCUUCUAUUAACACUCUACCACUGCAUUUUGUGCUCAGGUCCCUGGGAAGAAUCCCACCUCACACAUAAAACCUGAAACUUUCCCCAUAACCCCCUG